RNAcentral lists this ribosomal RNA (114 nucleotides) under Acanthosepion pharaonis. Lineage: Eukaryota; Metazoa; Mollusca; Cephalopoda; Sepiida; Sepiidae. The record is from RNAcentral.
UUGCAGCCAUAUCACGUUAAAACACCGGUUCUUGUUCGAUCACCGAAGUUAAGCAACGGUGAGCCUGGUCAAUACCUAGAUGGGUGACUGUUUGGGAAUAUCAGGUACUGUAAG